This is a long non-coding RNA of Oncorhynchus tshawytscha (Chinook salmon), 888 nucleotides long. RefSeq lists it as uncharacterized. The record is from RefSeq and is a predicted model, not a curated record. NCBI's taxonomy places the organism in Eukaryota, Metazoa, Chordata, Actinopteri, Salmoniformes, Salmonidae. The transcript is spliced from 3 exons.
CAUAUUGCCUUACACUCACCGUCUGUAGAUGUACAUGUGGACGUUAACAGGAAGAAUUUCCAUUCAUUGAAUGUUCAGAUCUGCGAUGCCCGUAUGCAACUACUCAAUGUGGCCAGGGUCUACCCACAACUCAAACGUUCAACAAUUGCAUUAUGUAAAUGAAUCAAACCCUGCGUAUUCUUCCGAGUUCAGUCACAAUCUGCCCAACCGAUGUGUUCAACUCGUUCUGGGUUUGCAGGAUUUAGGCGGUCAACACGCGAACAGAGGACAUGGACACAGAUGUGGAUGGACCCUCGAAACCUGUGGUCAAACAUUCCCCUUCACUCCUGGUACCUGCUGAUUUGGGAGCCUCACGCACUUUAUCACACCGAGCAGUAACUUCGGAAACGGUUAAAUUGGCUUGCGAAACCACCACGACUGGAUCACGAAACGCUGGAAGCUGCUUUGCAGCCUGUGCGCCCUCCACCCAGAGAUAAAGACCGAGGGUAAGUUGACUUUAUAUUCACACAUUCAGACAUCCAAAAGCCAUUUUAAAAAAGUACAAAUGAAUAACUAAUUCACAGUUUGUCACAAACUAGGUAUGAUAUAUUCCAUAAAAUGUCUAGCAUUAUUUGAUCACUUUCGUUUUGAUUCGAUAGAGGGCAUGUAGUCCGUCUAGAGGGCGUGUGGUCGAAGUUUUAACGAGUCUGUUGUACCCUACUAGAAGGGACCUGGCAGAAAAUUCUGCUUCUUCAGUCAUUAAAUUAGAUUACAGGAAAAAACUACGCGAUGAAGGGGUCAGGACUGACUAACAAGGAAAGCGGAUGGACAGGUGGAUGGAUCAAGAUAACCAAGAGGAUCAACAAGGACAUUCCACAGAAGCAGAGUGGAGAUAAGGAAAACUAAGAG